UUAAAUUAAAAUUUUUUCGCGGUUACAUCCUCACGGAAAUAGCUGUAUUGGGUGAACACCAGAUACAGAGAAACAAAAGGCAGCAAACGCGUACAUCAAUGCGUUUAUUCGACAAGAAAACCUAUGAGGAAAUGUCAUCUUCUGUGGUGUGAGCUGGGAGCGGAGAACGAGGAGAGCCACGUCCAGCUCAGCCCUACUGCGCUUUCUGCAUCUUCCCGGCUGGACGGCCGGAUGAACUCUUUGUGUUGCCGCGAGACGAAGUUGACCGCCGCGUACUCCAGCAGCGCCGCGAACACGAACAGCAGGCAAACCGCCAUCCAGAUGUCAAUGGCCUUCACGUAGGACACCUGCGACACACCACAUCAGAGCAUCAGUCAGUAAUCAAUCAGAGAGGCCCGUGAGCCGGAGCUCUGCGUGGUCAUAGUCAGGACCGUGGUGAUCCCCAGCCCCACGCGUGCCGGCGCGGCGUCCAUGUUGAUCCAGAAGGACACCCAGGAGAGGAUGACGAUGAGCAGGCUGGGGAUGUACAUCUGGAUCAGGUUAUUUCUUCAGCCUGGAACCACACACAAAUCAGUUACAUUUCACACAGUUGUCAUGUAGUCUAUUCAGUUUAAGUCUCAAUUUCAGUGGAAAAACAGUGAAAAAUGUGUUGGAGGCGUUAUCUUCACUGAGUUUUAAACAACUCCCACAAUUAUUCCACCCCACUCUUAUAUCUAUAAACUUCAUCACAAGAUUGCGAUUAAUGAAUUUUGUGUGACCAUAUGUGCAAAAUUAGUUUCGAUAAUGCUUCAUCAAGCAAUUCGUAUCAAAGCGUCAGUCAUCCGGUUGCUCAAUAGCAUGGCGGAGGAGAGAUCGACACAUUCACUCAACCACCCGAGACAAUGCUCCCACAGGACAGUACAGUGAUGAAAUGAACCAGAAAACGAAGUUGAACUCUGCCCCUGGCCGGUCAACUGUGACACAACAAACCAUGUGAUUUCGAUGGACCAAUUGCAGGCAGGGGGCAAGUCUGCAAA
Anguilla rostrata (American eel) is the source of this 1016-nucleotide long non-coding RNA. RefSeq lists it as uncharacterized. NCBI's taxonomy places the organism in Eukaryota, Metazoa, Chordata, Actinopteri, Anguilliformes, Anguillidae. The transcript has 5 exons. The record is from RefSeq and is a predicted model, not a curated record.